UUAACUCAAAUUGGUAUGCAGUUGGAACAGCGCCCCUAGUGGCAAACGUAGGCAAAAAUUCAACUCCAUACAAAUUUAAGUUA
This 83-nucleotide microRNA precursor is filed under the name Bombyx mori (domestic silkworm). Its description in RNAcentral is "mir-2807 microRNA precursor family". It matches the Rfam family "mir-2807 microRNA precursor family". Lineage: Eukaryota; Metazoa; Arthropoda; Insecta; Lepidoptera; Bombycidae. The record is from Rfam by way of RNAcentral.